Pelobates cultripes (western spadefoot toad) is the source of this 262-nucleotide non-coding RNA. NCBI's taxonomy places the organism in Eukaryota, Metazoa, Chordata, Amphibia, Anura, Pelobatidae. The record is from the annotation of a GenBank genome assembly.
CUUCAGUUCAGCUACUCUCGCAUAAUUUGAAAUUCACAUUGAAUUCACUUCAAAUUCUAACUUUAGUGAAUAACUUGCAUGUAUUUUGCCCUAGAUUAGCAACUAGUAUGCCUUCAUAAAUAUGAACCUGCAAUAUGCUAACGAAGUCUCGUUAAGCUUAUCAAAAUAACCAAACAUUGUUUAUCUUUACUGUAUUUGGUGAUCUCCUGUUACCAAGCGAUUAAUAUGGAUUAUUUGGUAAUCCCAUGUCUUAUUAUAGCAG